This 531-nucleotide ribosomal RNA is filed under the name Acinetobacter sp. enrichment culture. Its description in RNAcentral is "bacterial SSU rRNA". It matches the Rfam family "Bacterial small subunit ribosomal RNA", at positions 355 to 877 of the family's 1533-position model. The record is from RNAcentral. Lineage: Bacteria; Pseudomonadati; Pseudomonadota; Gammaproteobacteria; Moraxellales; Moraxellaceae.
UGGGGAAUAUUGGACAAUGGGCGGAAGCCUGAUCCAGCCAUGCCGCGUGUGUGAAGAAGGCCUUUUGGUUGUAAAGCACUUUAAGCGAGGAGGAGGCUACUUGGAUUAAUACUCUAGGAUAGUGGACGUUACUCGCAGAAUAAGCACCGGCUAACUCUGUGCCAGCAGCCGCGGUAAUACAGAGGGUGCGAGCGUUAAUCGGAUUUACUGGGCGUAAAGCGUGCGUAGGCGGCUUUUUAAGUCGGAUGUGAAAUCCCUGAGCUUAACUUAGGAAUUGCAUUCGAUACUGGGAAGCUAGAGUAUGGGAGAGGAUGGUAGAAUUCCAGGUGUAGCGGUGAAAUGCGUAGAGAUCUGGAGGAAUACCGAUGGCGAAGGCAGCCAUCUGGCCUAAUACUGACGCUGAGGUACGAAAGCAUGGGGAGCAAACAGGAUUAGAUACCCUGGUAGUCCAUGCCGUAAACGAUGUCUACUAGCCGUUGGGGCCUUUGAGGCUUUAGUGGCGCAGCUAACGCGAUAAGUAGACCGCCUGGG